Non-coding RNA from Plutella xylostella (diamondback moth), 302 nucleotides. The record is from RefSeq and is a predicted model, not a curated record. Lineage: Eukaryota; Metazoa; Arthropoda; Insecta; Lepidoptera; Plutellidae.
UUUUAUUGAAUUCAACGCAGUGAUAUUUGCCUACGGAUACCAACGCCAAGGCCCACGGAUGGAGAGGUCGCCAGUGGUGCCUUAAUAAGUGGAAGGAACUAGCCAAGCUCAAUAGCGAAGGGACGGAGAGGACAAGGAGUGAUAAGCAAAGGAGAAAAUUAAACAUGAAACAUAACAUUAAACAUUAAACAUAAAAGGUAUCGAGUGAUUAUAAGAAUAAUACAAAGAGAAAAUGCUCCCAAAUUGCCUAAGGGGGCACAGUGAAUGGUUGAUGGUUCAGCCCUAAAAUGGAUAUGUCAGAU